Molecule: ribosomal RNA, 497 nt
Filed under: uncultured bacterium
Lineage: Bacteria
Description: partial 16S ribosomal RNA
Rfam family: Bacterial small subunit ribosomal RNA
Source: RNAcentral
GAUGAACGCUGGCGGCGUGCCUAAUACAUGCAAGUCGAGCGAACAGACGAGGAGCUUGCUCCUCUGACGUUAGCGGCGGACGGGUGAGUAACACGUGGAUAACCUACCUAUAAGACUGGGAUAACUUCGGGAAACCGGAGCUAAUACCGGAUAAUAUAUUGAACCGCAUGGUUCAAUAGUGAAAGACGGUUUUGCUGUCACUUAUAGAUGGAUCCGCGCCGGAUUAGCUAGUUGGUAAGGUAACGGCUUACCAAGGCGACGAUGCGUAGCCGACCUGAGAGGGUGAUCGGCCACACUGGAACUGAGACACGGUCCAGACUCCUACGGGAGGCAGCAGUAGGGAAUCUUCCGCAAUGGGCGAAAGCCUGACGGAGCAACACCGCGUGAGUGAUGAAGGUCUUCGGAUCGUAAAGCUCUGUUAUUAGGGAAGAACAAAUGUAGAUGUAACUAUGCACGUCUUGACGGUACCUAAUCAGAAAGCCACGGCUAACUUCGUG